GACAAUGUUAGAGAAGCCCUAUAUAAGAAAUUGUUCUAGAGGAACAAACUCUACCACCACAAGAGCCUAUGUCAUUAAGGAGAUCUACUAGAGAAAGAAGAAGAGCAAUGCCAGCUAGCUAUAUUGUAUUUCUCUAAAAACAUAAGAUGGAUAUUAGUGUAACAUAUGUGAAAAAAGAGAGAGAGAGAGAGAAAGGCGAUUACAUAAAAAAUAAAAGAAGCUAGAAAUUUGUUUUAAGGGGCAACAUAUUCACACGUGAGAGAGGGGGGAAGCUGUCAAACUGACCCAAACCCACGAACCUAACCCAACCAUAUCUCCGAUUACCGGCCACCUCACCAGCCAUGGAAGGUAGCAAAUGAAAGCUCUUGAGCCGACCAUUACUCCCUUGCCAUCACUAUUGCCAAAAACCAAUUAGAACACCGUCGUUUGUAGCAUGAAAAUUUGCGACCAAACCCAUCACCACCGCCAUGGAUUCCGUCGGAAUCUCUGAUUACCGGUCACCUCACCAACCAUGGAAGGUAGCAAACGAAAGCUCUUGAGCCAGCCAUUACUCACAUGCCAUCACUGUUGCCAAAAAUCGACCAGAACACCAUUGUUUGUAGCACGAAAAUUCGCAGCCAAACCCAUCACCACCGCCAUGGAUUCUAUCG
This 650-nucleotide long non-coding RNA is filed under the name Citrus sinensis (sweet orange). RNAcentral describes it as "long non-coding RNA (CSIN_LNC001254)". The record is from RNAcentral. Lineage: Eukaryota; Viridiplantae; Streptophyta; Magnoliopsida; Sapindales; Rutaceae.